This is a long non-coding RNA of Nelumbo nucifera (sacred lotus), 1275 nucleotides long. RefSeq lists it as uncharacterized. Lineage: Eukaryota; Viridiplantae; Streptophyta; Magnoliopsida; Proteales; Nelumbonaceae. The record is from RefSeq and is a predicted model, not a curated record.
UAACGACACAUCAAGCAGUCUUAUCGUUCGCUCGCUUCUAAUCUUAUCUUGUCUGUCUCUUCCACUUUCAGUCUGUCAUGUUCUCCUUACCUUCUUUACGGGUCGGUGCUAAGGGUGAAGAAGAAAGGAAGAUCUGUUUACCUUUGCGUUUAUUUUCUGGUAGCGAAAUCGAGAUCAAUUGACCAUGCAGGCUUGAAAGCGUGACUUUUGAUGGUACUCUAGUAGAGGACGAACGAAGUGGCUAACCGCAGAAGGUACGCCUGUUCACUGUGUGGAUUUAACGAAAACCGUAUGGACCAGUUCAUCAAUUUUGUUUUCUCUUAGUUUUCGUUCUUUAUUAACCAUUCUUCUUUUUUAUUUCGUGCGCAUGCGACUGAUGAUUCGCUGGUCAUUGGAGUUCGUUUUUCACCGGAUCUGGCCGGAAUCUGGAUGCUUGCACUCGGAGUGCAAAUGGGUCCUGGUCGAUCUGCAGAUUUGAGCCGUAGUUCUGAAGAAACAACGGUUUUUUGUCUUUCUUUGGUGGGGAUCUGUUUCCAUUAUCAUGGCCUGCUUGAAAGACGAUUAGAUCUCGGGAAGCUGCUCAUGGUGGAUGGUCGUAGAUAUGGAGAUUUUCCACUUUGGUUCUUUGUCCACUCUUGCAGUUUUCUUUUAAACUCUCCAUUUUGGUUCUUCGGCCUCUCUCGUUGUUUCUUUAUAUAUAUUAGCCGCUUGUGAGCAGAUGGGUAUGAUAUUCAAAUCGAGGUUCCAGCCAUGGACAUGCUCUCAUAGAAGUGUAAGCUAUUUAAUAGAAACUUGGUCUCCUGUAUCCUCUCCGGUCUCCACAUUAUUGGAUGAAUCUGAAGAAACUGGGAUCGUUGCCAUUUGAAGGCAAAAAUGAGGCAAUGAUGUUGUCGUCUUUCUUUCUGGGUAUUAAACUUUAGGCUCAAGCCUCAAAAGAAAAUGGAAGACCUCACCUCAUUUUUUUGACGAGGUAACUUUAGGCUCAAGCCUCAAAAGAAAAUGGAAGACCUCACCUCAUUUUUUUGACGAGGUAAGAACCCCUACGUUGUUGUGAACACUUUUCUGGACUGCCCACCUUGCUGUUGGAUCCUUUUAGGUGGUUAAUACACAGUGAUUUCAUGCAUUUGAUUCUCUUGGUUAUGGUUUCUCUGUAGUUUAUUACUUUAUUUACAACAGUGGUGGGUGUAUAGACUAUGGUAGUUCGAAUCUAACCAUCACAAGCAAUGAUAGUUUGAUAGAUGCAACUGAAAAGGGUUUCUCCAUUGCAUGCAUGAA